CAUUCGUUCAUCUUUGUUUGAAAGAAAGAAAGAAAGAAAGAGUUGAAUUAAGUAAGAAAACCAAAAGAAAUUAAGAGAAAUCUAGAGAGAGAAACAAAAACUAGAAAAACAGAGGGAGUAUGCGUGUGUUUCUAUUGAGAGAAAUUCGACCUUAUUUGGCCUCCAAGUAAGCUCCUCUCCUUUCUGAUACCCUAUUCCUUCUUUCUUUAGCUUUUAUCAGUUCUUCUUUAGGGAAUUAAACUCCCAUAACACUGUAGCAAACACCAAAAAGAGGCGUUCUUCUCUUCUGCACUAGAAACGACUCUAUUUUCGGUAAGCUUCUAUUCUUUUCAUAAGUAGAGCUUCUAG
RNAcentral lists this long non-coding RNA (348 nucleotides) under Carica papaya (papaya). RNAcentral describes it as "long non-coding RNA (CPAP_LNC004285)". Lineage: Eukaryota; Viridiplantae; Streptophyta; Magnoliopsida; Brassicales; Caricaceae. The record is from RNAcentral.